Molecule: transfer RNA, 77 nt
Filed under: Mesorhizobium sp. CA10
Lineage: Bacteria; Pseudomonadati; Pseudomonadota; Alphaproteobacteria; Hyphomicrobiales; Phyllobacteriaceae
Also listed under: 14 other names
Description: tRNA-Arg
Rfam family: tRNA
About the family: Transfer RNA (tRNA) molecules are approximately 80 nucleotides in length. Their secondary structure includes four short double-helical elements and three loops (D, anti-codon, and T loops).
Source: RNAcentral
GCACCCGUAGCUCAGCUGGAUAGAGCGCUGCCCUCCGAAGGCAGAGGUCGCAGGUUCGAAUCCUGCCGGGUGCGCCA